Molecule: unclassified non-coding RNA, 387 nt
Filed under: soil metagenome
Description: partial contains 5.8S ribosomal RNA, internal transcribed spacer 2, and large subunit ribosomal RNA
Rfam family: 5.8S ribosomal RNA (bases 1-122)
Source: RNAcentral
GAUGAAGAACGUAGCGAAAUGCGAUAAGUAAUGUGAAUUGCAGAAUUCAGUGAAUCAUCGAAUCUUUGAACGCACCUUGCACCCUUUGGACUGCUCCAAAGGGUAUGCUCGUUUGAGUGUCAUUGUACUCUCACACUCUCUGAUCCUUUGGAUUUGGGGAGCAGUGGACUUGGGUGCUUGCUGCUUCCUUGUGGCUCACCUGAAAUGCAUCAGUGCAUCUCUCGAUUGGACAUAGUACGGCGUGAUAAGUGUCUUCGCCGGCACCUCAUAUGAGGGUGACCGAUCGGGAGCUCUGUGCUUUCAAACCGUCUUCGGACAACGCUGACAACUUGACCUCAAAUCGAGUAGGACUACCCGCUGAACUUAAGCAUAUCAAUAAGCGGAGGA